Molecule: ribosomal RNA, 253 nt
Filed under: uncultured bacterium
Lineage: Bacteria
Description: partial 16S ribosomal RNA
Rfam family: Bacterial small subunit ribosomal RNA
Source: RNAcentral
UACAGAGGUCCCAAGCGUUGUUCGGAUUCACUGGGCGUAAAGGGUGCGUAGGCGGUCGGGUAAGUCUGAUGUGAAAUCUCACAGCUUAACUGUGAAACUGCAUUGGAUACUAUCCGGCUAGAGGAAUGGAGGGGAGACUGGAAUACUUGGUGUAGCAGUGAAAUGCGUAGAUAUCAAGUGGAACACCAGUGACGAAGGCGAGUCUCUGGACAUUUCCUGACGCUGAGGCACGAAAGCCAGGGGAGCAAACGGG